UGAAAUGAAACACCUGGUGAAACCAGAGUAGCAGAAACCUUGUGAAGUUCCUCUAAUAGGGCACCUGGGAGGCAUCCUCUUAGGUCAGAAGAUUUGAAGGACUAAAAAGUUAAUAGAGUAGAGUAACCCAGACAUUUGCGACAUAAGAAGAUGCCAAAAGUUGAGCAGGCAGUUUAAAAUCACUGUAACCAGAGAACUGAUGACAGAGGGCUCAAUGGCAGGGAGGCUGUUCUCUUGGAGGGUAAAAUCAGAAGGUAUUUCUGAAUCUGAAUAAUUGAGGACAAUUUGCAACUUCUGGCCAGCAGAGAUGAAAAAGAUGGGUGGCUUGGAGAGCAAACUGCCCCAUGUGAAUCAAGCCCUGCCAGCAAUCCUGUCCCAGCUCAGACAGCCCAGCCUGCCUGCCUCUCCAUCCAUGCAGUAUGCAUACACAUACGCGCACCUUCCUGCCCGCAUCCAGCUCUCCUGUCAGAGGAUUCUGUCUUUGAACUGAACAAAGCCCUCACAAGCCAUGCUAUGAGUUGAGUCGCUUACCUCUGUCUCGGGAGGAGUUUAUCUCCCUUGACAAGGUUUUGUCUGGUGUUAGCAGCGGGGCUGAUGACAGGCUGUGCAUGCAGCAGCAUGUGACCCCGGCUCCUGGCCUCGGCGCAGGCAGUCGUCAGAGCUGUCACGCAGUCAGAACAAGUUAAUUCAAUGCGUGAAGGGCGAGGUGCGAGCUGUAAUAAUAUCAGGCCUCUGGAGAGGGUGCUGUCAUACAGCGUGUACUGGCGGCUGCCCCAGCU
Molecule: long non-coding RNA, 779 nt
Filed under: Anas platyrhynchos platyrhynchos (common mallard)
Lineage: Eukaryota; Metazoa; Chordata; Aves; Anseriformes; Anatidae
Description: lncRNA (ENSAPLG00000027021.1)
Source: RNAcentral